AAAGUUGUACAAGUGUUAUCGCUCCUUACUGAAUUUCACUAGACCAAGUUUGAAAUUAUAUCUGAAUUAUAGUAAUGGCAGCGAUCACCACUUGCACUUCGACUGCUCUGAUCAGUCGCGUUAGCAUUGUGCAGAAGGCCCCUACUGUUCUUGGGUUGCCUGUAAUGCCGAGAGUGGGUAAAGUGAAAUGUUUAAUAGUAAAAGAUAUUGGCGGAGGUGCUUCAACAGGGAGCAUGAUAGCAAGAUACCAUAUUUAUAUACAGUAGUAAUUAGUUCGAAACUAAGUUUUUCUUAUCCUUGAACUUCUGAAUUUUUUGAUUUUCAUUUCUUUAAUUUCUUGGUUCCUUAAACUUUUGUAGAAUACAGUGACUAAUCGAUAUCACCUUUCAUGUUAACUUGA
Daucus carota subsp. sativus is the source of this 400-nucleotide long non-coding RNA. RefSeq lists it as uncharacterized. The transcript is spliced from 2 exons. The record is from RefSeq and is a predicted model, not a curated record. NCBI's taxonomy places the organism in Eukaryota, Viridiplantae, Streptophyta, Magnoliopsida, Apiales, Apiaceae.